This 66-nucleotide transfer RNA is filed under the name Ornithorhynchus anatinus (platypus). It matches the Rfam family "tRNA". From Rfam's summary of the family: Transfer RNA (tRNA) molecules are approximately 80 nucleotides in length. The record is from Rfam by way of RNAcentral. Lineage: Eukaryota; Metazoa; Chordata; Mammalia; Monotremata; Ornithorhynchidae.
AGCAGUGUAGCUUAGUGGAAAGAGCAUUGGCUUGGGAGGUCAUGGGUUCUAAUCCCAGCUCUGCCA